RNAcentral lists this ribosomal RNA (825 nucleotides) under uncultured Gammaproteobacteria bacterium. RNAcentral describes it as "bacterial SSU rRNA". It matches the Rfam family "Bacterial small subunit ribosomal RNA", at positions 68 to 873 of the family's 1533-position model. Lineage: Bacteria; Pseudomonadati; Pseudomonadota; Gammaproteobacteria. The record is from RNAcentral.
GGAUGAGUGGAGCUUGCUCCAUGAUUCAGCGGCGGACGGGUGAGUAAUGCCUAGGAAUCUGCCUGGUAGUGGGGGACAACGUUUCGAAAGGAACGCUAAUACCGCAUACGUCCUACGGGAGAAAGUGGGGGAUCUUCGGACCUCACGCUAUCAGAUGAGCCUAGGUUGGAUUAGCUAGUUGGUGAGGUAAAGGCUCACCAAGGCGACGAUCCGUAACUGGUCUGAGAGGAUGAUCAGUCACACUGGAACUGAGACACGGUCCAGACUCCUACGGGAGGCAGCAGUGGGGAAUAUUGGACAAUGGGCGAAAGCCUGAUCCAGCCAUGCCGCGUGUGUGAAGAAGGUCUUCGGAUUGUAAAGCACUUUAAGUUGGGAGGAAGGGCAGUAAGUUAAUACCUUGCUGUUUUGACGUUACCAACAGAAUAAGCACCGGCUAACUUCGUGCCAGCAGCCGCGGUAAUACGAAGGGUGCAAGCGUUAAUCGGAAUUACUGGGCGUAAAGCGCGCGUAGGUGGUUCGUUAAGUUGGAUGUGAAAGCCCCGGGCUCAACCUGGGAACUGCAUCCAAAACUGGCGAGCUAGAGUAUGGCAGAGGGUGGUGGAAUUUCCUGUGUAGCGGUGAAAGGCGUAGAUAUAGGAAGGAACACCAGUGGCGAAGCGACCACCUGGGCUAAUACUGAACUGAGUGCGAAACCUGGGGAGCAACAGGAUUAGAUCCCUGGUGUCCACCCGUAACGAUGUCACUACCGUGGGACCUUGAGAUCUUAUGGCCACUACGCUUAAUCGCCGCUGGGAGACGGCGCAGGUAAACUCAAUGAUUGCGGGA